This 59-nucleotide transfer RNA is filed under the name Ictidomys tridecemlineatus (thirteen-lined ground squirrel). RNAcentral's name for it is "Spermophilus tridecemlineatus (thirteen-lined ground squirrel) tRNA". It matches the Rfam family "tRNA", at positions 7 to 64 of the family's 71-position model. From Rfam's summary of the family: Transfer RNA (tRNA) molecules are approximately 80 nucleotides in length. Their secondary structure includes four short double-helical elements and three loops (D, anti-codon, and T loops). Lineage: Eukaryota; Metazoa; Chordata; Mammalia; Rodentia; Sciuridae. The record is from Rfam by way of RNAcentral.
AUGGCUCAGUGGUGGGGCACCUGCCUAGCAUGCAGGAGGCCCUGGGUUCCAGCUCCAGU